This 21-nucleotide non-coding RNA is filed under the name Caenorhabditis elegans. Lineage: Eukaryota; Metazoa; Nematoda; Chromadorea; Rhabditida; Rhabditidae. The record is from RNAcentral.
UGACAAGCUGAACACAGGAAU